RNAcentral lists this ribosomal RNA (288 nucleotides) under uncultured bacterium. Its description in RNAcentral is "partial 16S ribosomal RNA". It matches the Rfam family "Bacterial small subunit ribosomal RNA", at positions 773 to 1060 of the family's 1533-position model. The record is from RNAcentral.
GUGGAUUAGAUACCCUGGUAGUCCACGCCGUAAACGAUGGGUGCUAGGUGUGGGAGGUGUCGACUCCUUCCGUGCCGCAGCUAACGCAUUAAGCACCCCGCCUGGGGAGUACGGCCGCAAGGCUAAAACUCAAAGGAAUUGACGGGGCCCCGCACAAGCAGCGGAGCAUGUGGUUUAAUUCGAUGCAACGCGAAGAACCUUACCAGGGCUUGACAUGGUCGGGAAAACCGUAGAAAUACGGUCCUCCUUCGGGACUCGAUCACAGGUGGUGCACGGCCGUCGACAACU